UCCACGCCGUAAACGAUGGAUACUAGCUGUUGGGCGCAAGUUCAGUGGCUAAGCGAAAGUGAUAAGUAUCCCACCUGGGGAGUACGUUCGCAAGAAUGAAACUCAAAGGAAUUGACGGGGGCCCGCACAAGCGGUGGAGCAUGUGGUUUAAUUCGAUGAUACGCGAGGAACCUUACCAAGGCUUAAAUGUAGAUUGACCGGUUUGGAAACAGACUUUUCGCAAGACAAUUUACAAGGUGCUGCAUGGUUGUCGUCAGCUCGUGCCGUGAGGUGUCAGGUUAAGUCCUAUAACGAGCGCAACCCCUGUUGUUAGUUGCCAGCG
This 322-nucleotide ribosomal RNA is filed under the name uncultured bacterium. RNAcentral's name for it is "bacterial SSU rRNA". It matches the Rfam family "Bacterial small subunit ribosomal RNA", at positions 794 to 1123 of the family's 1533-position model. The record is from RNAcentral.